UGGGGAAUUUUACGCAAUGGGGGAAACCCUGACGUAGCGACACCGCGUGAGCGAAGAAGCCUUUUGGGGUGUAAAGCUCUGUCAGCUGGAACGAACACAAUGACGGUACCAGCAGAGGAAGCAUCGGCUAACUACGUGCCAGCAGCCGCGGUAAGACGUAGGAUGCAAGCGUUGUCCGGAUUCAUUGGGCGUAAAGAGUUCGUAGGUGGUCUGUUAAGUUUGGUGUUAAAGAGCGGGGCCCAACCCCGAUAGUGCACUGAAUACUGGCAGACUUGAGUGCGGUAGAGGUGAGUGCAAUUCCAAGUGUGGCGGUGAAAUGCAUAGAUAUUUGGAAGAACACCGGUGGCGUAAGCGACUUACUGGGCCGUAACUGACACUGAGGAACGAAAGCCGGGGUAGCGAAUG
This 405-nucleotide ribosomal RNA is filed under the name uncultured bacterium. RNAcentral describes it as "bacterial SSU rRNA". It matches the Rfam family "Bacterial small subunit ribosomal RNA", at positions 355 to 774 of the family's 1533-position model. The record is from RNAcentral.